RNAcentral lists this ribosomal RNA (254 nucleotides) under uncultured bacterium. RNAcentral describes it as "partial 16S ribosomal RNA". It matches the Rfam family "Bacterial small subunit ribosomal RNA", at positions 524 to 776 of the family's 1533-position model. The record is from RNAcentral.
UACGUAGGUGGCAAGCGUUGUUCGGAAUUACUGGGCGUAAAGCGUGCGCAGGCGGUCUGUUAAGACCGAUGUGAAAUCCCCGGGCUUAACCUGGGAACUGCAUUGGUGACUGGCAGGCUUUGAGUGUGGCAGAGGGAGGUAGAAUUCCACGUGUAGCAGUGAAAUGCGUAGAGAUGUGGAGGAAUACCGAUGGCGAAGGCAGCCUCCUGGGCCAACACUGACGCUCAUGCACGAAAGCGUGGGGAGCAAACAGG